CAGCCUGAUUUCGUCUCUGCUGCUCAGCUAUGACAGCUUCUUGUAGGCUCAGCAAAACCUGACUUUAUACCUCCAGAGACACACUGAUGGGGAAAUAUUGAACACCACAAGCAACACUCACUGUGCGUUCCUACUACCAACACCACAGAGUUGGGAGCCUUGGCCUGAAAAAGAGGACACAGAAUGCUUAGCCAACCUUUCCACCGGGAGAGCAAAUAAGCUGGGACUGAUGACAAGUUGGGCAUUCAUAAUGUGCUGCUAGAGGUGAAAUUCUUGGACCAGCGCAAAACAGACCAGAAUCAAAGUAUUUGCCAAGAAUGUUUUUAUUAAUCAAGAAUGAAAGUCGGAGGUUCAAAGAUGAUCAGAUACUGUCGUAGUUCCGACUAAAAACGAUGC
Tachyglossus aculeatus (Australian echidna) is the source of this 396-nucleotide long non-coding RNA. RefSeq lists it as uncharacterized. The record is from RefSeq and is a predicted model, not a curated record. The transcript is spliced from 3 exons. NCBI's taxonomy places the organism in Eukaryota, Metazoa, Chordata, Mammalia, Monotremata, Tachyglossidae.